RNAcentral lists this ribosomal RNA (621 nucleotides) under fungal sp. QLF39. RNAcentral's name for it is "eukaryotic LSU rRNA". The stretch from base 160 to 313 matches the Rfam family "5.8S ribosomal RNA". The record is from RNAcentral. Lineage: Eukaryota; Fungi.
UAAUCCUCGAGUUGUUUUAUGGCACUCUUUAUAAUCCAUAUCCACCUUGUGUGCAAUGUUUGUUGGGAAAGUCUUUUUCUUUCCCUUCAUAAAUAUCAACCUAUAUCUUUAACAACAUUCGUCUGAUAACAUAUUAUGAAUAUACUUAAUUCAAAAUAUAACUUUCAACAACGGAUCUCUUGGCUCUCGCAUCGAUGAAGAACGCAGCGAAAUGCGAUACGUAAUGUGAAUUGCAGAAUUCAGUGAAUCAUCGAAUCUUUGAACGCAUAUUGCGCUCUUUGGUAUUCCGAAGAGCAUGCUUGUUUGAGUAUCAGUAAACACCUCAACCUCUCUUUUUUGAUAAAAAAAAAAGGGAGGGUGGACUUGAGCUAUCCCAACGACCUUCACCGGUAGGCGGGCGGCUUGAAAUGCAGGUGCAGCUGGACUUUUAUCUGAGCUAAAAGCAUAUCUAUUUAGUCCUCGUCAAACAGGAUUAUUACUUUUGCUGCAGCUAACAUAAAGGAUAAUUGUCCUCUUUGCUGACUGAUGCAGGAUUUUACGACACUUUAUGUGUUGUUCAACUCGAUCUCAAAUCAAGUAAGACUACCCGCUGAACUUAAGCAUAUCAAUAAGCGGGAGGAA